GUUUGUCUUCAGGGCAGGGUGUAAUUCCCGACCGGCGGUGAUAGUCCGCGACACGUGAGUAAUCACGCUGAACUGGUGUAAUUCCAGUACCGACAGUAAAGUCUGGUAUGUAGAAGAUUAAA
This is a regulatory RNA element of 122 nucleotides. It matches the Rfam family "FMN riboswitch aptamer (RFN element)". From Rfam's summary of the family: The RFN element is a highly conserved domain that is found frequently in the 5'-untranslated regions of prokaryotic mRNAs that encode for flavin mononucleotide (FMN) biosynthesis and transport proteins. This element is a metabolite-dependent riboswitch that directly binds FMN in the absence of proteins. In Bacillus subtilis, the riboswitch most likely controls gene expression by causing premature transcription termination within the 5' untranslated region of the ribDEAHT operon and precluding access to the ribosome-binding site of ypaA mRNA. The record is from Rfam.